ACCGAACGAGAGCUUGCUCUUGUUUGGUCAGCGGCGGACGGGUGAGUAACACGUGGGCAACCUGCCCGCAAGACCGGGAUAACUCCGGGAAACCGGAGCUAAUACCGGAUAACACCAAAGACCGCAUGGUCUUUGGUUGAAAGGCGGCUUCGGCUGCCACUUGCGGAUGGGCCCGCGGCGCAUUAGCUAGUUGGUGAGGUAACGGCUCACCAAGGCGACGAUGCGUAGCCGGCCUGAGAGGGUGACCGGCCACACUGGGACUGAGACACGGCCCAGACUCCUACGGGAGGCAGCAGUAGGGAAUCUUCCGCAAUGGACGAAAGUCUGACGGAGCGACGCCGCGUGAGCGAAGAAGGCCUUCGGGUCGUAAAGCUCUGUUGUGAGGGACGAAGGAGCGCCGUUUGAAUAAGGCGGCGCGGUGACGGUACCUCACGAGAAAGCCCCGGCUAACUACGUGCCAGCAGCCGCGGUAAUACGUAGGGGGCGAGCGUUGUCCGGAAUUAUUGGGCGUAAAGCGCACGCAGGCGGUCCUUUAAGUCUGAUGUGAAAGCCCACGGCUCAACCGUGGAGGGUCAUUGGAAACUGGGGGACUUGAGUGCAGGAGAGGAGAGCGGAAUUCCACGUGUAGCGGUGAAAUGCGUAGAGAUGUGGAGGAACACCAGUGGCGAAGGCGGCUCUCUGGCCUGUAACUGACGCUGAGGCGCGAAAGCGUGGGGAGCAAACAGGAUUAGAUACCUUGGUAGUCCACGCCGUAAACGAUGAGUGCUAAGUGUUAGAGGGGUCACACCCUUUAGUGCUGCAGCUAACGCGAUAAGCACUCCGCCUGGGGAGUACGGCCGCAAGGCUGAAACUCAAAGGAAUUGACGGGGGCCCGCACAAGCGGUGGAGCAUGUGGUUUAAUUCGAAGCAACGCGAAGAACCUUACCAGGUCUUGACAUCCCCUGACAACCCAAGAGAUUGGGCGUUCCCCCCUUCGGGGGGGGACAGGGUGACAGGUGGUGCAUGGUUGUCGUCAGCUC
Molecule: ribosomal RNA, 1019 nt
Filed under: uncultured Geobacillus sp.
Lineage: Bacteria; Bacillati; Bacillota; Bacilli; Caryophanales; Anoxybacillaceae
Description: bacterial SSU rRNA
Rfam family: Bacterial small subunit ribosomal RNA
Source: RNAcentral